RNAcentral lists this transfer RNA (75 nucleotides) under Bacilli bacterium. RNAcentral describes it as "tRNA-Thr". It matches the Rfam family "tRNA". From Rfam's summary of the family: Transfer RNA (tRNA) molecules are approximately 80 nucleotides in length. Their secondary structure includes four short double-helical elements and three loops (D, anti-codon, and T loops). The record is from RNAcentral. Lineage: Bacteria; Bacillati; Bacillota; Bacilli.
GCUGGUAUAACACAAAGGUAGUGUACUUCCAUGGUAAGGAAGAGGUUGACGGUUCGAGUCCGUCUACCAGCACCA